RNAcentral lists this ribosomal RNA (422 nucleotides) under uncultured bacterium. Its description in RNAcentral is "partial 16S ribosomal RNA". It matches the Rfam family "Bacterial small subunit ribosomal RNA", at positions 359 to 773 of the family's 1533-position model. The record is from RNAcentral.
GAAUAUUGGACAAUGGGGGCAACCCUGAUCCCGCCAUGCCGCGUGUGUGAAGAAGGCCUUUUGGUUGUAAAGCACUUUAAGCAGUGAAGAAGACUCCAUGGUUAAUACCCAUGGACGAUGACUUUCGCUGCAGAAUAAGCAACGGCUCACUCUGUGCCCGGCGCCGCGGGAAUACAGAGGGUGCAAGCGUUAAGCGGAAUUACUGGGCGUAAAGCGAGCGUAGGUGGCUUGAUAAGUCAGAUGUGAAAUCCCCGGGCUUAACCUGGGAACUGCAUCUGAUACUGUUAGGCUAGAAUAGGUGAGAGGAAGGUAGAAUUCCAGGUGUAGCGGUGAAAUGCGUAGAGAUCUGGAGGAAUACCGAUGGCGAAGGCAGCCUUCUGGCAUCAUAUUGACACUGAGGUUCGAAAGCGUGGGUAGCAAAC